GUGAGGAAUAUUGCGCAAUGGCCGCAAGGCUGACGCAGCGACGCCGCGUGAAGGAUGAAGUCCGUUAGGAUGUAAACUUCUUUUGCAGGGGAUGAAAUCCCCGGUCUACGGGGUGUGACCGUACCCUGCGAAUAAGGAUCGGCCAACUACGUGCCAGCAGCCGCGGUAAUACGUAGGAUCCGAGCGUUGUCCGGAAUUACUGGGUGUAAAGGGCGUGUAGGUGGAUCUCUAAGUCGGUGGUGAAAUCCUGCAGCUUAACUGUAGAACUGCUUCCGAUACUGGAGAUCUUGAGUGCGGCAGAGGGAGAUGGAAUUCAUGGUGUAGCGGUGAAAUGUGUAGAUAUCAUGAAGAACACCGGUAGCGAAGGCGGUCUCCUGGUCCGCAACUGACACUGAGGCGCGAAAGCGUGGGGAGCAAACAGGAUUAGAAACCCCAGUAGUCC
Molecule: ribosomal RNA, 442 nt
Filed under: uncultured bacterium
Lineage: Bacteria
Description: bacterial SSU rRNA
Rfam family: Bacterial small subunit ribosomal RNA
Source: RNAcentral